This 253-nucleotide ribosomal RNA is filed under the name uncultured bacterium. Its description in RNAcentral is "partial 16S ribosomal RNA". It matches the Rfam family "Bacterial small subunit ribosomal RNA", at positions 524 to 776 of the family's 1533-position model. The record is from RNAcentral.
UACGAGGGGGGCAAGCGUUGUCCGGAUUUAUUGGGCGUAAAGCGUAUGUAGGCGGCUAAGUAAGUCAGGCGUGCAAGCCCGUGGCUCAACCACGGAAUUGCGUUUGAAACUGUUUAGCUUGAGUACAGGAGAGGAAAGCGGAAUUCCCAGUGUAGCGGUGAAAUGCAUUGAUAUUGGGAAGAACAUCUGUGGCGAAGGCGGCUUUCUGGUCUGUUACUGACGCUGAGAUACGAAAGCCAGGGUAGCGAACGGG